Molecule: ribosomal RNA, 463 nt
Filed under: Engaeus sericatus
Lineage: Eukaryota; Metazoa; Arthropoda; Malacostraca; Decapoda; Parastacidae
Description: partial large subunit ribosomal RNA
Rfam family: Bacterial large subunit ribosomal RNA
Source: RNAcentral
GCCGCGGUAUUUUGACCGUGCGAAGGUAGCAUAAUCAUUAGUCUUUUAAUUGAAGGCUUGUAUGAAGGGUUGGACGAGAAAUAAGCUGUCUUUAUUGGAAAAAUAGAAUUUAACUUUUAAGUGAGAGGGCUUAAAUGUUCUAAAGGGACGAUAAGACCCUAUAAAGUUUGACAUUUUAUUCAUUAGAAAAUAAAAUAAUUAAUUAAUUUUUAUUAGUGGGGGUAAUGUUUUGUUGGGGCGAUUAGAAUAUAAAAAAUUUAACUGUUUUAUAUUAAUACAAAGUUGUUUGAGUGUUUUGAUCCUUAAUAAAGGUAUUAGAGUAAAUUACUUUAGGGAUAACAGCGUAAUUUUUUUUGAGAGUUCUUAUCGACAAAAAAGUUUGCGACCUCGAUGUUGAAUUAAAGAAUUCUUUAUAGCGCAGAAGUUAUAAAAGAAGGUCUGUUCGACCUUUAAAUCUUUACAU